UUAAUUGAAGCCAAAAAUGAGGUAACUUAUUGUUAAUAAGUAAAUUGAAUUAAAUUCCAAUUAAA
This 65-nucleotide transfer RNA is filed under the name Atkinsoniella zizhongi. Its description in RNAcentral is "Atkinsoniella sp. 1 YJ-2022a tRNA-Asn". The record is from RNAcentral. Lineage: Eukaryota; Metazoa; Arthropoda; Insecta; Hemiptera; Cicadellidae.